GGGAAAUGAGGCACCCCAGGUUCUAGGCACACACGCCGAGGAUAAAUAGGGGCCUCGACGUCCGUGAGCCUCACGGCGUUGCUCGCUGUCUUACUGAAGUCUCUGACGGAAAGCGAGCACGGCAACGACGCCGUCAGGACAAAGAAGAUGGCGCGCGUCUAGGCUCUCGCUGGGGAAAUAAAGAGAGAGAUGGGCCUCGGGAGGGAGAAAGAGGCCCAUGCUGGCGCUUGAUAGAGGAAGAGAAACCCACUGUGGUUUCUUAUUUAAAACCAAC
This 274-nucleotide long non-coding RNA is filed under the name Hordeum vulgare. RNAcentral's name for it is "long non-coding RNA (HVUL_LNC014896)". Lineage: Eukaryota; Viridiplantae; Streptophyta; Magnoliopsida; Poales; Poaceae. The record is from RNAcentral.